ACAGCUUGUCCACUGUAGUGACCACUAUGCAUGAAACGUUUCACCUGCGGCAGUGAUGUGCAGGUGUACUCCAGGGGGUGUGUCAGUACACCGUGACAUCACUGCUGGGUGUGGUUAAUGUAUGACGAGCCAAUCAGCUCAGCGGGCGCCUUAACGUGAAGUUAACACAUAUAAUUAUCAGGUGUUGACGUGUAUACAGCUGUGAUUUAUGGGAACUAGUCUAAUAGUCUUAUUGAGAUGAGCUCAGAAGUUGCUCUUCUGGGUCCUCCUGGUCUUCUUCUUGAUUUCUUGUUGUGAAGGACUAAAGUGUAAUUUGUGAAAUUCCUUUUUUUAACGCAGAGCUGCUGGUAUGAAGAAAGUGUUGGAGUUGAACUAGACGUCACUGAAAAACAAACGUAUGAUUCAAGAAGAGCGAGCUCGAGUGUUUCUCUGUAACAGCAGCAGAGAAACUACAGUUUUAAUGAAACUCCACAGAUGUGUUUAAAUCACUAAACUGUUGUUAAUGUGUACAGGUGUGAAGUCAUUAUACACAGCCAGCAUGUCACCACAACGUACGCCAUCAUCAUACCGAAGCUUUACUAGACGUGUUUAGGUGCACCCGGUGGCUCGCAGUGUUACUGGUUCAGCAGAGAACCAGUCUGACCAGCAGAGAUGUGACUUGUGAUCAAACUUCCAGUCAGAUCUGCUCCUCCUCUGCAUUAAACAUAAACACUGAAAACUUCUGGAAAUAAAGACAAAAAAUUACAAUAUUUACAUCUUUUGAAAACUAUCAAUAAGUCCAAUCAGACGCUGUUUAUUGAAACACAAUGAAUGAAUGAAAACAGAAUAACUGUGAAUGUUGCACAUCUCUGACUCUCUACACGUCCUUCAGAUUAGUUCUGCUCACUUCGUUACAGCGUCGGCUGAAACUGAGCGUUUUGCCCUUUUACAGAAUAUCUCUCUUCCAGAAGACAAUCUCUUUUUUUUUUCUCCUCCUCUCUCCUCAUGCAGAUGUUCAACCCUCCCACUGAUGAAUUCGCAAUUAUUGAUGGCUUCAUAUAAGCAGUGAACUUCUCCAAUCGGCCGGCAUGGUAAUUGUAAAGGAAGUCAUAUGCAUAAAAUUAAUUAUACGGCGCAAUAAGGCCCAUAAAUCAGGUCACUAUCAAUUCAGCUGAAAAUGUUUCAAGCGCACGCUCGUCCGCAGAGUUCAAGGUAAAAAAGGAAAGGAUUCCCCUUUUUUACCAAAUCAAGAAAGUAAUCUGUCAGAGAGGACAAAGACGUGUCUCACACAAAGGCUUUACUGAGAUAUGGGCUCCAUAUUUGGAACAAGAAAUGAGGUUUUCUUCAAUUGUGUUCUGCUUAAUCUUAUAAAUGGUGCAAUCAAAGAAGAGGUUGCUCUGUUUACUCUCUUUUUUUUGGGGAAUAAAAUAAGCAGCAGAAGCACCUACAAUUUCACUAGAAAGCCUUUAUGUGAUGCUAAAUGAUGUGGUAAAUGAAGCACUUUCUGAAAAAUGUAAAACUAAUUAUGCAAUUACUAAAAAUCACAGGACUGAAAUAUUUAUUGCUCUUCCAAAGGGCUGAAGAUCUUUUUGCUUCCUGCAGUGAGAGGUUGAGUGAUGGCUGCGAGAGUGGUGCAGGAACUAAUUCGAAAGAACAAUUACACGCGUUCAGUCCAUUUAUUUUCCAUCGGAUAAUUAUUUGAUGUAUUUAUUUUAAUGACAUUGUGUAAUUCAGUUCAUCUCAGGCUCUCGCUGGCUGCUAGCUUCAAUUACCGGCCAGUCAUUUAUAACUCCCCGAGGCUAAAAAGAAGGCCACGGCGUCACCGAGGAGCAGAUUAUUACACAUCCGCUGAGGCGUCGCGCCGCAGAUCCACACAGACGACGACGACAACUCUUCUGUUUGUGGAAGUCAGAAAAAUGAAGAAACGGCUCCUCUGAGGUCACAACGACGAGAUUAUUGAUCCAUGAGCAAAAAACUGUAAUUAGUGAGAUUUCUGUGCAGCACAUUUAUGUUGUCUCAUAAACUUCUUCGGUUUACAUGUCAAUAUUUGGGUAAUUUUAUGGAGUUUCUUGCAUUCGUCAGCAUAUUUAAUGAGAUUUUCACUGAAAAAUAUUGAAUAAAUCAAAUUUUUUGCGUAUACUUUUGAUAUUUAUCUACUACAGUUUUAAGAAAACUGAUGUCAAAACAUGUAAACUUCUUUGUAGAUUCCUGUUGUGACUUUUUAAUAAGUGCUGAACUUUAUGAGUUAUUAAGAUGUAAAGAUGAUCCCCAUUGAUUAUCAUUAUCAUAAUUCAGUCACUGUAUACAAUGCAAACUCCAUUAAUAUGUCAACGUACUCUGUAUUGUGCACUGAUUAAAUCAACAUAUGCUCAUUACGAUGACGUGUGCAGUUUAUGAGUUAUAUAAUACAUUAAAGUCUAUGGACGCCCAUUCACUCUCAUUGUAUUUAUACGUCAGCAAAUGUUUAUGUUAAAAACUUCAUUUAAAUUACACAAUAUACAAGUUCAUUAUGAUGAUUUGUACAAUUCACAUUGCAUAUAGCAGAAUGCAUUAAAGUCACUUCCAUUACAUUCAUAUUUCAGGACCUUUAUACAGUACAAAUUUAAUUAAUUUGAUGACAAAAAACUAUGUAUUUCACCCUGAUCAACUGUGAACAAGGUGAUUAUAAUGAUGAUAUGUAUAAUAAUUGAUAAUUAAAGUCUAUGGAAGCUCAGCAGAGUACAAACUCAUAAUAAGAUGCACAGUUUGUAAGUUAGGGGUUAAAUAUUGCAUUAAAGUCUACAGAGUUCCAUUCACUCCCAUUAUAUUUACAUCUCAGCCACUGCAUACUGUAUAAACUCCACUGAUAUAUCAAAAUAUUCUGUAUUACUAACUGAUUGACUGUAUAUGAUCUCAUUACGAUGAAAUAUAGAAGUUUUGAGUUAUACACUUUAAUAUACUAAAAGCUCCCAUUGACUUCCAGCCAAAACAUUAAGAUCAAUAAGUUUUUACAUCUUGUUAAUAAGAAUCACACACGUCUUCAGGAAAUUCUUCUCUCCUUAGUCUCUGUUCCUCUGAGUCAUUAAUGACGUAACUCUUGUAAUAAACGCACCACCGGAGUGAGAAGUUGUUGUCUGACAUGAGCCGCCUGUCACAUCACAAUAUCAUGUCUAACAAUAAUAUUAGUCUGACUGGACAAAUGUAGCCAUUAAAGACUAUUGAGGCUUAGCAGAUAACACAAACUGUGAGGUUCAGGGUCGAGGCUGCGGCUGGUAUUUUAACGAGGUGUCGCGGUACGGAGCCGUGCGGCUCGGCCUGAUAGCGCUGUGUUAGUAUUACAGACAGGAAUGUGAGGCUGAUUAGAACGUGUGAUGGGAGGAAGAGGAGGUGGAGUUCAUCCUGGAUGUCAUAACUUUAACGUGGGGUCAUUAAAGGCAGCAAGUUCUUGGCUGAUUUGACUUUAUUGCAGUUUUUCUGUAUAAACUAGAGAACAGAACUGACAUCAGGCCACAGUUACAGUCAGAUUAUCUGAAGGCUCAGACGCAAGAUCAGCCUCGUUAUAACAUCAGUGUUUACAAAGUGCAGAUUUACACAUUUACACGUUACAUAACUAAAACCAGUUGUUACGUAGAGAUGAGUUGUUACUAAAUAUUUACAGCUACUAAUAUGGAACAUCUGACCUGACACAGAAAAAACACAAAAUACCUGAAACAACUAAACCAGUAACGUUAGACUAACUGACCAAAUAACACCUGUUAGCUUAGCGUAUCUCACUGUAAUCUGCAUGAAUACUACUGAUGCUAAAACACACAUAUUUCUGCAGGUGUGCAGACAGAAAUAAAACUCCCACAUUCACAAAGGAUCAACAGCUCACUAUAUUUUAUCCAAAGCCUUCAUUUUUGGAAGUUAUGUUACAACUUGUGAUGCUACUGUUUACAUAUUUGGUUGCUUCUUAUUGGAUGUUUCCUCGCAACCGUUUUACAUAUUACCAAAGUGUUUACUAGAUAAGACAUUUAUUAAAGGAUGGGUCCAUUAUGUAUUUAUUUUUUAGGUUUUUAUAUCAUUCUGUAGUCUCCCGGUUGUAUCUCUAACCCACGUCUCUGUUUUUUGCUAACGGCUGAAUCAGCGUUUCCAUCUGAACAACCCAGAAACAAACACAGAUGUCGUCCUAUGAGUGAGGGCUGUGAUGUCGUUCUCUUCUCUGAGCAGUUUGUCUCGGUUUAAAGUUUUUCGUCAAACCUCAAAGUGACAUUCGCUCGUCCACGUGAAGCUCAGCGACGUCGUGACCGAAGAGGGAAAAUAAAGCUUGUUUGCUAACGGCGGCUAGCAAACUCGUUUGUUUUGCUUUGGUUUGAUUCAGUCAUUAAACAACCUGCACGUGACUUUUACACAUAUUCAAAAAACUAACAAACAAAAACAUUGAAGAAACACAAAAUGAUCAAACUGCACAUAAAACAAAGUGUUUUAGGAUCCAUAUUGUUCACUAAAGUUGAACUCAACACGAUAAAUCAAUGUGGAUCCAAUGAUUCAUCUCUGAUCGCCGUUAAAUGAGCCGUUUUACAAUCCCGGUGGUCUUUAGACCUGCACGUAUACAAAUUUUAAUAUUAAUUGGGCAUUUAUCAUAAUUGAAAAUAUUGGUAAAAAGUUGCACUAUUCUGUCAUUAUGUGUGAACUGUUCACACUGCUGAAGGAAAUCAGGCCAACAAGGAUACAUGACACUGAGAAGGCUGAACUUAAUAGAAUAAUGUGAUAAAGUGACAUUUAUUCACAGUUAUUAAAGUUAUUAAAUUACUUCAGUAAAUCAAAAUCAAUUUAAAGUUAAUAUGAAUCAAUAUUCCUUGUAAAUUAGGUUAUAUUAACAUUUUCUUACAACUUUUUCUGUAAAUUUGAGGAACUUAUUCAAUAUAUUUGAAUUUUAAUCAAAGUUUUCUUACUUUAAAUCUACUCAGUAAUUUAAUGCAUCACUUAAUUACCAUCAUUUUUUAAAUUAACCCUUUAUCGUGUUUUACGGUGUAGUUUACACAACAAACAGAGCUGGAUUUUUAAAUGAGGGAGUCACAGAAGAAGAAAUAUUUGCAGCUUUUAUUGUUUGUAUUUUGGGGAAAACUUUCCUAACAUGACCAGUCUGAACAUGUUUCUUACAGUCAAAAAGUCCUUUUUCCCAAAACAGCUGAAUGUAAAAGAGAAUCAUCUUAUAAUUCGAUCAAUAUAAUAAGUUGAUUGAUCCUUGUUGCUGAGGAGGACUCAGUCAGCUGUGAUGCUGCCUGUCAGCUCUGAAAAACCUUUUCUUUCAUAAAGAUUCAUGUCCAGUUCAUGAGCGGCUCCGUUUUGAGAAGUGAAUGAUGUUCUUCUCUUUUAUUAUUACAUUUGAAAUGUUUCUGGGUUAACAUGUAUGUUAAAGCUGCUAUUAAUCAAACAUGGCAGCCGUGUCAUUUGUCUCUCGGUGUCGAUAGCGGCGAGUCCCGGCUGCUGCUAUAAAAGCCACAAACACAUCAGCACUUUAAUUAAUGCAAUUAAAUGGAGCAACGAUUUCUCAGAGGCCACUGUCACAACUCUACUGACCCGCGAACCGAAGGGCCCCAAUAACCAGCACGUAUUUAUCAAAUGAGUGAAAAUAUGAACUAAGAAUCCUUCAUUUUACAAGUUUGACUUAACAGUAACAGAUCCUCUCGUUGAUCCUGGACACAGUUGCUGCUUUCUAGAAGCUGUUAUCCAAUCAAAUCUUUGAACUGAAUAUAAAGCGUGUGAAAAUUUAAACUACAAGCACAACAUACAUAAACUAACUUACAUGAUACAGGACUAGUGUGUCCUCCUGUACAAUUAACAUGACAUGAACAGAAAUAUGGAUUCAAUAAAAACAAACUGAAGCUGAAGGAAACUGAACUUGAACACGGAGGUAAACGGGUACAAAACACAUUAUUAGUAUCUCUUCUUGAUUAAUUCAGUUCAUUUGGUCUAUAAAAUGUUGUAAAAUGAAAAAAACACAGAUCACAGUUUCCUGAAUGUCUCGUUUUGUCCGACCAACUGUCCAAAAACCCCAAAUUAUUCAGUUCACGAUGAGAUAAAAUGUAAGAAAAGCUGCAAAUUCUCACAAUGGAGAAACUGCAACAAGGUAAAGAUUGUAAAUUUCACUUAAAAAAAUAACUUAUUGUCUCUUUAGGGACAAUAAAGUAUUAAUUUAUUAUUUUAUUUCCACAUGUGCAUCCUCCAACUCUCCAGUACAGGAAGCAGCAACUGCUUUGGUGACUGUAAUUAUAAAUAUAUCUGUAGUGUCAAUCAUGUCAAAGCUGUUUUCAGUUACUCCAGUUGUAGGAAUACAUCACAAAUAACAGAACCUGAUCUCUAUAUAAACCUGCGACGCUGAAUAAACAGUUGCACAAUUAACUGUUUGUAAUUACGGUGGUGUAAUAGAGCGCUGGCUGUCUGCAGAUCAGCACGUCCAUUUUUCACAGCAGCGACGGCGUAAUAAUGUUCCACAACAUAACGGUAACACUUGUUCCAAUAAAAGCGGCAGUUUUACACCAUGUUUUCAUAGUAAGCUUUUAUUUGACUGCUGUAACAGUGCUGUGAAUUCAUCAAAAAACCUUUACAACUCACAGUAACUCAUGAAUGUCUUCCCCCCUCCUAACAGCUGCACAGACUCUUAUAAAACGCUGCCGAGUCUCUGCUGUCUAAAAAUAUCACUGGUUUUUUCCUACGUUUGUCAGAAACGUUUUCUUUGCGAGGCGCUUUUGAUUUACAGGUCAGGACUCGUAUUUAUCAAACUGCUCAGAGAAGGAAAUCAGUCCAGUCGGCCAAAAAAAACUCUCAGAGCGACGUGUUUUUGGUCCGACUUUAAGUACGAGGAGUAAAAACAUUUCAUCAACUUUCUUAUCUUAAGAAAUCAACAUGUAGGAGUCUGAACCUGGUCGCAGCAGCUUUGAAACAGUGUUUCAGCAUCAUAAUAAAUCAAACUUAUGUUUGUCAUUAAAAGACUGGUUCACAAUUUUUCCAGUGUGUCUUAAAA
Long non-coding RNA from Thunnus maccoyii (southern bluefin tuna), 6964 nucleotides. RefSeq lists it as uncharacterized. The record is from RefSeq and is a predicted model, not a curated record. The transcript has 2 exons. Lineage: Eukaryota; Metazoa; Chordata; Actinopteri; Scombriformes; Scombridae.